Molecule: ribosomal RNA, 380 nt
Filed under: Conticribra weissflogii
Lineage: Eukaryota; Bacillariophyta; Thalassiosirophyceae; Thalassiosirales; Thalassiosiraceae
Description: partial Bacterial small subunit ribosomal RNA
Rfam family: Bacterial small subunit ribosomal RNA
Source: RNAcentral
CGGUGACAAACCGGAGGAAGGUGGGGAUGACGUCAGGUCAUCAUGGCCCUUACGGCCAGGGCUACACACGUGCUACAAUGGUGCGCACAGAGGGCUGCAAACCCGCGAGGGGGAGCUAAUCUCACAAAACGCAUCGUAGUCCGGAUCGGAGUCUGCAACUCGACUCCGUGAAGUCGGAAUCGCUAGUAAUCGUGAAUCAGAAUGUCACGGUGAAUACGUUCCCGGGCCUUGUACACACCGCCCGUCACACCAUGGGAGUGGAUUGCACCAGAAGUGGUUAGUCUAACCUUCGGGAGGACGAUCACCACGGUGUGGUUCAUGACUGGGGUGAAGUCGUAACAAGGUAACCGUACUGGAAGGUGCGGUUGGAUCACCUCCUU